Molecule: ribosomal RNA, 423 nt
Filed under: Triticum aestivum (bread wheat)
Lineage: Eukaryota; Viridiplantae; Streptophyta; Magnoliopsida; Poales; Poaceae
Description: partial small subunit ribosomal RNA
Source: RNAcentral
AUGCUGCUCACCCCGACCUCUCGGCGUCGAGGCCUGGCCACCAUUGCAUCACUCACGGCUUGGUCGCUAUGACGGCACCGGAACGCGAUCAUCUUCGACAAAGUGGCCCCUUCAUCUGCCACACUCAUUGCGGCAAUCAAAGACGAAGCUCGCUCCUGGGCCGCGGCAGGAGCUCGAGGGAUGGCUGCGCGCAAUCUUGUAACUUUAUCAUGUAGUCCCUUGGGGCUGAGCAUCCCCAUGUCUUCUGCUUCCUCCGGGUCCAUAGCCUUGCCAUUCGUGUGUACGAGACUAUGGCCCCUUCCUUGUACUUGUUCUAACCCUCCUAUCAAUGCAAUGAUACGCUACCUUAGCGUAUUCGAUAAAAAAAAAACUACAGUGCUGCAGGGAGUCCGGAGGGGCCGACAUGAAAGCAUCGAGGCUUGA